UUUCCGUAGGUGAACCUGCGGAAGGAUCAUUAAAGUUAUAGUCCCCUGGCCCUCUGGGCUGGGGUCUUCUAUACCACCCUUUGUUUAUUACACCUUUGUUGCUUUGGCAGGCCUGCCCUCGGGCUGCUGGCUCCGGCCGGCGAGCGCCUGCCAGAGGACCUAAACUCUGUUUGUCUAUAGUGUCUGAGUACUAUAUAAUAGUUAAAACUUUCAACAACGGAUCUCUUGGUUCUG
This 234-nucleotide unclassified non-coding RNA is filed under the name plant metagenome. RNAcentral's name for it is "partial contains small subunit ribosomal RNA, internal transcribed spacer 1, and 5.8S ribosomal RNA". The record is from RNAcentral.